UUAACUCAAAUUCGUAUGGAGUUGUAAUGUUUGCCUACGUUUGUCGCUAGGAUCGCUGUUUCAACUGUGUACAAAUUUGAGUUA
Molecule: microRNA precursor, 84 nt
Filed under: Bombyx mori (domestic silkworm)
Lineage: Eukaryota; Metazoa; Arthropoda; Insecta; Lepidoptera; Bombycidae
Description: mir-2807 microRNA precursor family
Rfam family: mir-2807 microRNA precursor family
Source: Rfam by way of RNAcentral